This 793-nucleotide ribosomal RNA is filed under the name uncultured bacterium. Its description in RNAcentral is "bacterial SSU rRNA". It matches the Rfam family "Bacterial small subunit ribosomal RNA", at positions 8 to 796 of the family's 1533-position model. The record is from RNAcentral.
AGAGUUUGAUCAUGGCUCAGGAUGAACGCUAGCGGCAGGCUUAAUACAUGCAAGUCGAGGGGCAGCACAGGUAGCAAUACUGGGUGGCGACCGGCAAACGGGUGCGGAACACGUACGCAACCUUCCUUUAAGUGAGGAAUAGCCCAGGGAAACUUGGAUUAAUACCUCGUAAGAUUGUGGAUUGGCAUCAAUCAGCAAUUAUAGCUCCGGCGCUUAAAGAUGGGCGUGCGCCUGAUUAGGUAGUUGGCGGGGUAAUGGCCCACCAAGCCUACGAUCAGUAACUGGUGUGAGAGCACGACCAGUCACACGGGCACUGAGACACGGGCCCGACUCCUACGGGAGGCAGCAGUAAGGAAUAUUGGGCAAUGGACGCAAGUCUGACCCAGCCAUGCCGCGUGGAGGAUGAAGGUCCUCUGGAUUGUAAACUUCUUUUAUUUGGGAAGAAAUGCAAAUUUUCUAAUUUGUUUGACGGUACCAGAUGAAUAAGCACCGGCUAACUCCGUGCCAGCAGCCGCGGUAAUACGGAGGGUGCAAGCGUUAUCCGGAUUCACUGGGUUUAAAGGGUGCGUAGGCGGGUUGGUAAGUCCGUGGUGAAAUCUCCGAGCUUAACUCGGAAACUGCCGUGGAUACUAUCAAUCUUGAAUAUCGUUGAGGUAAGCGGAAUAUGUCAUGUAGCGGUGAAAUGCUUAGAUAUGACAUAGAACACCAAUUGCGAAGGCAGCUUACUGAACGGUCAUUGACGCUGAGGCACGAAAGCGUGGGGAGCAAACAGGAUUAGAUACCCUAGUAGUCC